CAUUGGUCAUUAAAUCGUCAGGUAUAUGCCGGGAAUCAAACAUCAUUCCCAUCGCCAACGAACCGAGGAUAGCGCAGACCGCAACCAUGACGGCUAAAAAGAGCAUCCCCUUCGGAAAUUCUUUUCCACAGGUGGUCAGGUAGAGAAUACCAAGGCGCUUGAGAGAACUCGGGUGAAGGAACUAGGCAAAAUGGUGCCGUAACUUCGGGAGAAGGCACGCUGACACGUAGGUGAAGUGAUUUACUCAUGGAGC
Molecule: ribosomal RNA, 253 nt
Filed under: Salmonella enterica subsp. enterica serovar Kentucky
Lineage: Bacteria; Pseudomonadati; Pseudomonadota; Gammaproteobacteria; Enterobacterales; Enterobacteriaceae
Description: partial 23S ribosomal RNA
Rfam family: Bacterial large subunit ribosomal RNA
Source: RNAcentral